GACGAACGCUGGCGGCGUGCUUAACACAUGCAAGUCGAACGGAAAGGCCCAGCUUGCUGGGUGCUCGAGUGGCAAACGGGUGAGUAACACGUGGGUGAUCUGCCCCUAACUUCGGGAUAAGCUUGGGAAACUGGGUCUAAUACCGGAUAGGACAAUCGUUUAGUGUCGGUUGUGGAAAGUUUUUUCGGUUAGGGAUGAGCCCGCGGCCUAUCAGCUUGUUGGUGGGGUAAUGGCCUACCAAGGCGUCGACGGGUAGCCGGCCUGAGAGGGUGGACGGCCACAUUGGGACUGAGAUACGGCCCAGACUCCUACGGGAGGCAGCAGUGGGGAAUAUUGCACAAUGGGCGCAAGCCUGAUGCAGCGACGCCGCGUGGGGGAUGACGGCCUUCGGGUUGUAAACCUCUUUCGACAGGGACGAAGCUUUGGUGACGGUACCUGUAUAAGAAGCACCGGCUAACUACGUG
Molecule: ribosomal RNA, 464 nt
Filed under: uncultured bacterium
Lineage: Bacteria
Description: partial 16S ribosomal RNA
Rfam family: Bacterial small subunit ribosomal RNA
Source: RNAcentral